AGCCCGACCUUCGGUCUUCGCCACAUCAUGUGCAUCGACGCCGACAUGUCACGCAAAGGUGAAUCUUCUCCUUUAUGCGUGCGUACAAUUACCUAUGUGGAAUGGUAUGCUACUUCAUCCUCCGUCAUAUGACCAUGACAGGAAUACAUCGCCAAGUACGGAGGAAGUGGAGGAUGCCAUGGAUGCUCGAGGACUCAAGGCCGAGGUCGUGGAAGCAUGGAAGAAGCUCCAGGCGCAGCUACACCGGAGUCGCCGGCGUCGCCAACUCACAACGGAGUCUCCGGCCCAUGAAGAUCAAGACCGGAGUCUCCGGCCUACAUACAAGAGAGUCUCCGGACUAUGUGAAGCGCUAUCCACAAGUCAAUUAGGGCCAAGGCCCAUGUACCCCCUUCUAUGCCUAAACUACCCCUCCUUAGUGGCUCCCUAUAUAUAGGCUCCCACCUCCCCCUUCAUUAGGAAUGAACUUGAGAGAACCUAGGCUCAUGCCUCCACCAUCCCUUUGGGAUUAGGGAAACCCCCUCCUUAGAUUAUCCAAAUCUAUUGUACAAGGCACUCCUUAUAUGAUUUAUCUUUCGCACUUGUGAUUCUA
Molecule: non-coding RNA, 589 nt
Organism: Lolium perenne
Lineage: Eukaryota; Viridiplantae; Streptophyta; Magnoliopsida; Poales; Poaceae
Source: RefSeq, a predicted model, not a curated record